AAAAAAUUCCAUCGACCAGGAAGCCGAUGACCGAGUUGAUAACCUUUGAAUAUCUCCGUUAAUGUAUUAUGACGACAUAAAAAGCAUCGACUGAUAAGCUUAUAAAAUACAUCAUGUAGUUAAGGUACUGCGACAAGGGGUAAACACGCAGAGAAUAGAGCUUUUGUUGAAUUGACGACUGUGACCGUUUCUUGAAAAACUGUUUGUUUCAAUAACUAUAAUAUUUUUCUUAUUCUCAAGUUGGAGUGGCUAUACAUCAAUUUGGCUCGAACAUUAAAUCAAUUUAUACUUGAAGUGAAAUGCUUCAAAGGUUGAGAAAAAUAGCAGCGAAUUCACGUUUUGUCACAGGUAAGAAAUACAUUUAAAGAAAACACACAAAUAUCUGCAUUCUUGCUCAGUUAGCGAUCGUAAGAAAUGAUCAAUUAAUAAUCAGUAGGAUCAACUCAUUGAUCUCAAUGAUAUUAUUACGAAUACUGUAUUUAGAGAAUUCAAUUUUAAAGCGUAUUUCUCGACGUACCUGCAAGAUUUUUUUUGCGACGUCUUCAUUAGAUAUAUUAAAUUUACUUCAGCUGCUCCACAAAAAGAAAAACUCAUGGACUUUGGUGCAGGUAAUAUGAUUCCCUUACGGAGUCUCAACGAUAAUCAGCAGAGGAUCUCACCUGGAACAGAAAACACACAAAAACCCCACCGAUCAAAAUUUUGAGGGAGAAGGCUUGAAUCUUGCAACUGUCGUUAGAAGGAAACGGAAGCUCGUCAGCUUGGCAGCAGCCGAGACACAAAGGACCGAAAACCGGAGGAGCUUUCUUUCUCACGACCGGAACGGAAACCAGGCCUGCCAACUUGUAGCAGGUGAAAAAAACGUUCAUUCCGGACCAUCGACCGACACUUUCCAAAGGACGCACUCACAAUCAGCCGCGUGCCUCUUUAGGGGUUCAUUUGGGAAUACGAGGAGUAUUUAACGAAACAUGGGACAGGAUACGCACCCCGAGAUGCAAAAUUUCAUGAAACUUAAUGUAAUGAACUGUUUUAAAACUUCAGCCAUGUACUCUACAUGCCAUGAAACGCAGCAGUAAGUAAAAUCUUCGUUCAGGAAUUUUUCUUUAAAAAAUAUAUUAAUCUAAAACAAGAAAAAAUUAAAUAAAAAUUGAUGGUUCUGAUUGAAUUCUGUCGUGAUCGUUGCAGGUUCCAUACCUAUGCCGUCCCUAAAACCAAUUUAUUGUAUUUUUGCAAUUAGUAUUAAUUUUAUAUUGAUUGAAUUUUGACAGUAAUAACUAGCCUGGAUUCUUCAAAAAAUUACUUUUAUCACAUAAAAUUGAUCAGCUUAUGAUGACAUACCGAGGCAUUUUGGCUGAGACCAUCUUCAGGGUGU
Molecule: long non-coding RNA, 1369 nt
Filed under: Bemisia tabaci
Lineage: Eukaryota; Metazoa; Arthropoda; Insecta; Hemiptera; Aleyrodidae
Description: lncRNA ENSSSA3NGG012888
Source: RNAcentral